GGAUGAAGAACGCAGCGAAAUGCGAUAAGUAAUGUGAAUUGCAGAAUUCAGUGAAUCAUCGAAUCUUUGAACGCACAUUGCGCCCGCCAGUAUUCUGGCGGGCAUGCCUGUUCGAGCGUCAUUAAAACCCUCAGGCCCCCGGGCCUGGCGUUGGGGAUCGGCGGAAGCCCCCUGUGGGCACACGCCGUCCCUCAAAUACAGUGGCGGUCCCGCCGCAGCUUCCAUUGCGUAGUAGCUAACACCUCGCAACUGGAGAGCGGCGCGGCCAUGCCGUAAAACACCCAACUUCUGAAUGUUGACCUCGAAUCAGGUAGGAAUACCCGCUGAACUUAAGCAUAUCAUAAGCGGAGGA
Molecule: unclassified non-coding RNA, 352 nt
Filed under: soil metagenome
Description: partial contains 5.8S ribosomal RNA, internal transcribed spacer 2, and large subunit ribosomal RNA
Rfam family: 5.8S ribosomal RNA (bases 2-121)
Source: RNAcentral